RNAcentral lists this ribosomal RNA (386 nucleotides) under uncultured bacterium. Its description in RNAcentral is "bacterial SSU rRNA". It matches the Rfam family "Bacterial small subunit ribosomal RNA", at positions 30 to 417 of the family's 1533-position model. The record is from RNAcentral.
AUUGAACGCUGGCGGCAUGCCUUACACAUGCAAGUCGAACGGCAGCGGACCUUCGGGUGCCGGCGAGUGGCGAACGGGUGAGUAAUAUAUCGGAACGUACCUUUCAGUGGGGGAUAACGUAGCGAAAGUUACGCUAAUACCGCAUAUUCUGUGAGCAGGAAAGCAGGGGAUCGCAAGACCUUGCGCUGAUUGAGCGGCCGAUAUCAGAUUAGCUAGUUGGUGAGGUAAAGGCUCACCAAGGCGACGAUCUGUAGCGGGUCUGAGAGGAUGAUCCGCCUACACUGGAACUGAGACACGGUCCAGACUCCUACGGGAGGCAGCAGUGGGGAAUUUUGGACAAUGGGCGCAAGCCUGAUCCAGCCAUGCCGCGUGAGUGAAGAAGGCCU